CCGACUGGCGACUUGGACGGUCAACCGUUGGAAUUCGGCGAUUUACCCCGAAUCUCCACCGCGGCGGUGCGUUUUCGGGGGUUCGGCACUCUCAACGUUGUGACGGACCGCCGCCAUAUUUGUUUACGAAACUAAGCCUAAGCCCAACACCAACUAACAACAUACCAUCCAGCGAUGAGGAAAAAUAUUGGAGGUUAGGACGAGUUAGUCAAAAACAUCGGCCUUUCGGGUAAGCAUCGUCGGUUGAAUUUCCUCGAUUUUUUUAAAGUUUUUUUCUAUUAUAGUAACAUUUUAGGUUUAAAAUAUUCUAUCAGAAUGUCGAGCGCGUUACAGAGCACUAUAUCGUACGUAAUUCAGCUCGGAUUUAUUCUCAGAUUCGUAAUAAACGGGGUCCUGUAGUACGGAGUCAUAACUGUUUUUUUGUGAUCCUUCAGAGAGAAGUGCAACGGAGAAAUGUCAUUGAUGCGGAUUCUUAGCUCUUAUCUUGAACGUCAUAUCUUUAGUGUUAUUAGUGCGCGUUCACCGUUAAAAUGUGUUCGAUUCUUGUGCUCUAAGUUCUCAGUUUUAGUGCGAGAAAAUGCUGUUUUUCCACUCCGAUCCCAACGCGCUCCAGCCGUGGACUGCAGGACUCAUAUGGAAGACUUCAAAUUUACUGCUCAUCAUGUUUUCAAGCACAGCGUUUUGUUAGUGUAGGCUGCAUAAUCGGCAGACUGUAAUUAUUUUCUUAAUCAUCGAUAACUAUUCCAAGUAACAAUCACCAAAUCACUCGUUGAAAACCUGUCUUUUUCCUUAUGAAAAUGCUCACCAUGUUUUCAAGCCCAGCAUUUCGCUAAUGUAAGCUGCAUAGUUGGCGAACUGUAGAAGAUCCAGCAAUCAUGAUAUGUGAAUUCAAAUCUUCAAUGUAAUGUGUUAAACUUGUCUACGUCUAGUGAUGCUCAAUGUUGUUCAUCCAUGAUUAGUUUCUGUCACAUCACCUAGCAAGAGUGUGUCACCAUUGCCCUCGAUUUUGUUGUAAAAUGAAAAUGAAAUUUUAUCAAUUAAAGCCUUCUAAAAUCUUGCUCAUA
Molecule: non-coding RNA, 1064 nt
Organism: Bemisia tabaci
Lineage: Eukaryota; Metazoa; Arthropoda; Insecta; Hemiptera; Aleyrodidae
Source: RefSeq, a predicted model, not a curated record